RNAcentral lists this ribosomal RNA (253 nucleotides) under uncultured Herminiimonas sp. Its description in RNAcentral is "partial 16S ribosomal RNA". It matches the Rfam family "Bacterial small subunit ribosomal RNA", at positions 524 to 776 of the family's 1533-position model. The record is from RNAcentral. Lineage: Bacteria; Pseudomonadati; Pseudomonadota; Betaproteobacteria; Burkholderiales; Oxalobacteraceae.
UACGUAGGGUGCGAGCGUUAAUCGGAAUUACUGGGCGUAAAGCGUGCGCAGGCGGUUGUAUAAGUCAGAUGUGAAAUCCCCGGGCUCAACCUGGGAAUGGCAUUUGAGACUGUACGGCUAGAGUGUGUCAGAGGGGGGUAGAAUUCCACGUGUAGCAGUGAAAUGCGUAGAGAUGUGGAGGAACACCGAUGGCGAAGGCAGCCCCCUGGGAUAACACUGACGCUCAUGCACGAAAGCGUGGGGAGCAAACAGG